GAUGAACGCUGGCGGCGUGCCUAAUACAUGCAAGUCGAGCGAACGGACGAGAAGCUUGCUUCUCUGAUGUUAGCGGCGGACGGGUGAGUAACACGUGGAUAACCUACCAAUAAGACUGGGAUAACUUCGGGAAACCGUAGCUAAUACCGGAUAAUAUUUUGAACCGCAUGGUUCAAAAGUGAAAGACGGUCUUGCUGUCACUUAUAGAUGGAUCCGCGCUGCAUUAGCUAGUUGGUAAGGUAACGGCUUACCAAGGCAACGAUGCAUAGCCGACCUGAGAGGGUGAUCGGCCACACUGGAACUGAGACACGGUCCAGACUCCUACGGGAGGCAGCAGUAGGGAAUCUUCCGCAAUGGGCGAAAGCCUGACGGAGCAACGCCGCGUGAGUGAUGAAGGUCUUCGGAUCGUAAAACUCUGUUAUUAGGGAAGAACAUAUGUGUAAGUAACUGUGCACAUCUUGACGGUACCUAAUCAGAAAGCCACGGCUAACUACGUG
Molecule: ribosomal RNA, 497 nt
Filed under: uncultured bacterium
Lineage: Bacteria
Description: partial 16S ribosomal RNA
Rfam family: Bacterial small subunit ribosomal RNA
Source: RNAcentral